This 1242-nucleotide long non-coding RNA is filed under the name Parus major (Great Tit). RNAcentral's name for it is "lncRNA (ENSPMJG00000003958.1)". The record is from RNAcentral. Lineage: Eukaryota; Metazoa; Chordata; Aves; Passeriformes; Paridae.
GGGUUUUUUUGGGGUUUCUUUGGGAUUUCUUUGGAAUUUUUUUGGGAUUUUUUUGGGAUUUUUUUUGAAUUAUUUUUAAAUUUUUUGGGGAUUUUUUGGGGGAUUUUUUGGGAUUUUUUGGGGAUUUUUUUGGGAUUUUUUUUAGAUUUCUUUGGGAUUUUUUGGGAUUUUUUUCAGGAUUUUUUGGAAUUUUUUUGGGGAUUUUUUGGGAUUUUUUGGGGUUUUUUGGGGAUUUUAUUUUGGAUUUUUUUGGGAUUUUUUGGGGGAUUUUUUGAGGAUUUUUUGGGAUUUCUUUGGGAUCUUUUUGGGAUUUUUUUUUUAUUUUUUUUGAAUUUUUGGGGGAUUUUUCGGGGAUUUUUUUGGGGAUUUUUUGAGGAUUUUUUGGGGAUUUUUUUGGGGAUUUUUUGGUGGAUUUUGGGGUGAGGAAAUGAGGAUUUUGGAGUGUGGGGGAGGGGCCAGGUGUGUCCAGGUGUGUCCCCAGGUGUGUCCAGGUGUCCCCAGGUGCGUUCCAGACCAGGUUCCAGAACGUUCUAGAGGUUCUAGACUCGGUUCUAGAUCGGGUUCUAGAUCGGGUUCUAGAACGUUCUAGGUACGUUCCAGAUCAGGUUCUAGAACGUUCUAGAUCGGGUUCUAGGUGUGCUCUAGGUACGUUCUAGAGGUUCUAGAUCACGUUCUAGAACGUUCUAGACUCGGUUCUAGACUCGGUUCUCGAUCGGGUUCCGGACUGUUCCAGAACCGGUUCCAGACUGGGUUCCAGAGCAGGUUCCAGACUGGGUCCCCAGGUGUGUCCAGGUGUGUCCCAGGUGUCCCCAGGUGUGUCCAGGUGUCCCCAGGUGUGUUCAGGUGUUCUCCAGGUGUGUUCAGGUGUGUCCAGGUGUUCUCCAGGUGUAUCUCAGGUGUAUUUUAGGUGUCCCCAGCUGUUCUAGGUGUAUCUCAGGUGUCCCCAGGUGUGUCCAGGUGUCCCCAGGUGUCCCCAGGUGUAUCCAGGUGUAUCUCAGGUGUCCCCAGCUGUUCCAGGUGUCCCCAGGUGUGUCCCAGGUGUAUCUCAGGUGUCCCCAGGUGUAUCUCAGGUGUAUCUCAGGUGUGUCCCCAGCUGUCCCCAGGUGUCCCCAGGUGUCCCCAGGUGUCCCAGGUGUCCCCUGUCCCCGCAGGAAGAUCCAGGAGGAAUCUCUCCGCACGUACCUGUUCACCUACAGCAGCGUCUACGACUCCAUCAGGUGGAUUUGGGCUGAAAAACGGGGA